This 292-nucleotide ribosomal RNA is filed under the name uncultured bacterium. RNAcentral describes it as "partial 16S ribosomal RNA". It matches the Rfam family "Bacterial small subunit ribosomal RNA", at positions 505 to 796 of the family's 1533-position model. The record is from RNAcentral.
GUGUCAGCAGCCGCGGUAAUACGAAGGGUGCGAGCGUUGUUCGGAAUUACUGGGCGUAAAGGGUUCGUAGGCGGGACCUUAAGUCACGUGUGAAAUCCCUGUGCUCAACGCAGGACGUGCACGUGAAACUGAGGUUCUUGAGUGAUGCAGAGGACGAUGGAAUUGCUGGUGUAGGAGUGACAUCCGUAGAGAUCAGCAGGAACACCGGAGGCGAAGGCGAUCGUCUGGGCAUUUACUGACGCUGAGGAACGAAAGCGUGGGGAGCAAACAGGAUUAGAUACCCCGGUAGUCC